Trichobilharzia regenti is the source of this 45-nucleotide non-coding RNA. Lineage: Eukaryota; Metazoa; Platyhelminthes; Trematoda; Strigeidida; Schistosomatidae. The record is from Rfam.
AUCCAGCUGACGAGUCCCAAAUAAAACGAAAUGCGCAUCCUGGAU